Spirochaetes bacterium GWB1_27_13 is the source of this 72-nucleotide non-coding RNA. Lineage: Bacteria; Pseudomonadati; Spirochaetota. The record is from Rfam.
GCCGGUGUAGCUCAAUGGUAGAGCAAUUCACUCGUAAUGAAUAGGUUGAGAGUUCGAUUCUCUUCACCGGCU